Kalaharituber pfeilii is the source of this 85-nucleotide non-coding RNA. The record is from the annotation of a GenBank genome assembly. Lineage: Eukaryota; Fungi; Ascomycota; Pezizomycetes; Pezizales; Pezizaceae.
GGUUGAAUGGUGUAGUGGUUAUCACAUCUGUCUUACAACCUGUGUGGUUCACAGAAGGUCCCAAGUUCGAUCCUUGGUUCAAUCA